GUCUUCCUUUAAAACGUUCAAUUUCCGUAUAAAAGAGUAUCUCAUUCCUUCUUAUAGCAUUUCGAAUAAGAAGUAAGAACGUGUAUAACUUAAUUACACGAUGGCGAUAUCGGUUUACUUUAUCUUUUUCCUACUUGCUACAACUGAAAUCUGUUACCCCUCUCCUUUCGAACGGAAGAAACGAAGUAUCUACAAAUCAUAAG
Centruroides sculpturatus (bark scorpion) is the source of this 203-nucleotide long non-coding RNA. RefSeq lists it as uncharacterized. The record is from RefSeq and is a predicted model, not a curated record. Lineage: Eukaryota; Metazoa; Arthropoda; Arachnida; Scorpiones; Buthidae. The transcript has 3 exons.